AGAAGAAGCCAUUGAUUGGCUAGGCCAUCAGAAGCUAGAUAGAAGGCAUCUGCCAUUUAACUGUAUUAGGGCAAACUUUGUGAGGGAAUAAACCAAUCACAUUGUGACUUCUAAAGGGUGGGACCGAUUUUACAAAAACAAAUGGAAACUUCUGCCUUCUCAAAGGCCAACAGGUCACUGUGCAAUUGCAAGCUGUAGUUUUCCCACAGACUAGUAAGCCAUCUUUUGUUAUAGGCUAGUUUGCAGUGGCUGCAGCAGGUGUUAUUGAAGAGGAUGUUGUUUGUAAUUUGUUAGCUUCUCCCUUUUCAAGAAUAACUUUCAACAAGAAGUUCAUUUUCAAAUUAUCGUCAUCUGGGACCUACUGGCUUAUGUCCGAAGGAAUGGACUGCUUAUCCUUUAACAUCAUGCUGUGUUUGACUGCUGUCUUUCCAUCGGCCCUAUGCAGUGGUGUUGUGGUGCCUGGAGAAUGGGCCUGGCUCACUAGUGUGUGGGCAUGUGUCCAGGCCCACUCAUGCCCACGCCCCUGAUGCAAACAGUACACGAUGACUGACCUGCGCAUCACAAAAAGCCUUUGGACCAAACUCAUUCAAUACAUGGUUUGCAUACCCAUUGUUGCCUUAGUUAGCGUUUUCUAUCUACCCUACCGAUGACAUUCCUCUGUGCGCUCCAUGCCAAACGCAUGUGACUUUAUUUCACGUACUUUGUGAUUGUGUAGGUUAAUUUGUGCAUGAUGGUACUACAUAGAUUGUACUACAUAAUUGAUAAGUCAUAUACCUACACUACUCUAAUAUGCAUCAGUGGGGAUUAAGAAGUGAGUAUAAGCAAUGCUCACUGGAAAAAAAGGUGGUUAUAUGAUAUAUACAGUUGAAGUUUACAUACACG
This is a long non-coding RNA of Oncorhynchus tshawytscha (Chinook salmon), 882 nucleotides long. Lineage: Eukaryota; Metazoa; Chordata; Actinopteri; Salmoniformes; Salmonidae. The record is from Ensembl.